Molecule: transfer RNA, 83 nt
Filed under: Gemmatimonadales bacterium
Lineage: Bacteria; Pseudomonadati; Gemmatimonadota; Gemmatimonadia; Gemmatimonadales
Description: tRNA-Leu
Rfam family: tRNA
About the family: Transfer RNA (tRNA) molecules are approximately 80 nucleotides in length.
Source: RNAcentral
GCCGGGGUGGCGGAACGGUAGACGCGGCGGCCUCAAAAGCCGCUGUCCGCAAGGACAUGCGGGGUCGAUUCCCGCCCCCGGUA